CCUGUGAAGGUGUACUGUGAGGUAUGCUGGAGGUAUCAGAAGUGCGAAUGCUGACAUAAGUAACGAUAAAGCGGGUGAAAAGCCCGCUCGCCGGAAGACCAAGGGUUCCUGUCCAACGUUAAUCGGGGCAGGGUGAGUCGACCCCUAAGGCGAGGCCGAAAGGCGUAGUCGAUGGGAAACAGGUUAAUAUUCCUGUACUUGGUGUUACUGCGAAGGGGGGACGGAGAAGGCUAUGUUGGCCGGGCGACGGUUGUCCCGGUUUAAGCGUGUAGGCUGGUUUUCCAGGCAAAUCCGGAAAACUAAGGCUGAGGCGUGAUGACGAGGCACUACGGUGCUGAAGCAACAAAUGCCCUGCUUCCAGGAAAAGCCUCUAAGCAUCAGGUAACAUCAAAUCGUACCCCAAACCGACACAGGUGGUCAGGUAGAGAAUACCAAGGCGCUUGAGAGAACUCGGGUGAAGGAACUAGGCAAAAUGGUGCCGUAACUUCGGGAGAAGGCACGCUGAUAUGUAGGUGAAGUCCCUCGCGGAUGGAGCUGAAAUCAGUCGAAGAUACCAGCUGGCUGCAACUGUUUAUUAAAAACACAGCACUGUGCAAACACGAAAGUGGACGUAUACGGUGUGACGCCUGCCCGGUGCCGGAAGGUUAAUUGAUGGGGUCAGCGCAAGCGAAGCUCUUGAUCGAAGCCCCGGUAAACGGCGGCCGUAACUAUAACGGUCCUAAGGUAGCGAAAUUCCUUGUCGGGUAAGUUCCGACCUGCACGAAUGGCGUAAUGAUGGCCAGGCUGUCUCCACCCGAGACUCAGUGAAAUUGAACUCGCUGUGAAGAUGCAGUGUACCCGCGGCAAGACGGAAAGACCCCGUGAACCUUUACUAUAGCUUGACACUGAACAUUGAGCCUUGAUGUGUAGGAUAGGUGGGAGGCUUUGAAGUGUGGACGCCAGUCUGCAUGGAGCCGACCUUGAAAUACCACCCUUUAAUGUUUGAUGUUCUAACGUUGACCCGUAAUCCGGGUUGCGGACAGUGUCUGGUGGGUAGUUUGACUGGGGCGGUCUCCUCCUAAAGAGUAACGGAGGAGCACGAAGGUUGGCUAAUCCUGGUCGGACAUCAGGAGGUUAGUGCAAUGGCAUAAGCCAGCUUGACUGCGAGCGUGACGGCGCGAGCAGGUGCGAAAGCAGGUCAUAGUGAUCCGGUGGUUCUGAAUGGAAGGGCCAUCGCUCAACGGAUAAAAGGUACUCCGGGGAUAACAGGCUGAUACCGCCCAAGAGUUCAUAUCGACGGCGGUGUUUGGCACCUCGAUGUCGGCUCAUCACAUCCUGGGGCUGAAGUAGGUCCCAAGGGUAUGGCUGUUCGCCAUUUAAAGUGGUACGCGAGCUGGGUUUAGAACGUCGUGAGACAGUUCGGUCCCUAUCUGCCGUGGGCGCUGGAGAACUGAGGGGGGCUGCUCCUAGUACGAGAGGACCGGAGUGGACGCAUCACUGGUGUUCGGGUUGUCAUGCCAAUGGCACUGCCCGGUAGCUAAAUGCGGAAGAGAUAAGUGCUGAAAGCAUCUAAGCACGAAACUUGCCCCGAGAUGAGUUCUCCCUGACUCCUUGAGAGUCCUGAAGGAACGUUGAAGACGACGACGUUGAUAGGCCGGGUGUGUAAGCGCAGCGAUGCGUUGAGCUAACCGGUACUAAUGAACCGUGAGGCUUAACCUU
Molecule: ribosomal RNA, 1698 nt
Filed under: Shigella boydii
Lineage: Bacteria; Pseudomonadati; Pseudomonadota; Gammaproteobacteria; Enterobacterales; Enterobacteriaceae
Description: bacterial LSU rRNA
Rfam family: Bacterial large subunit ribosomal RNA
Source: RNAcentral